Cricetulus griseus (Chinese hamster) is the source of this 5494-nucleotide non-coding RNA. The record is from RefSeq and is a predicted model, not a curated record. Lineage: Eukaryota; Metazoa; Chordata; Mammalia; Rodentia; Cricetidae.
UGACACGUGGCUGAGCUAGGGGGUCGCAUGUGGGUUCUGUAGCCUGCAAGACUGCCAUUCUAAUCCUCUGUGUCUGGGUUCCUUCCCACUUUGGACUCUGUCCAAACACAAUUAUGAAAUUGUAGGCACCCCAGGAGGAGAAAUCACAGGAUACUUUGCGAGCAAUAGCCAUCCAAGCUCUAAAAAGACUUGAAGGUCUAGCACCCUAUCAAGUGUCUCUCGGGUAGGCCCAGGACAGCUGUCUCUGCUAUUUGUCUAGAAGAGCCAUAGCUACCACUAGAUGGCAGUGUUUUAACGUCGGCAAGGGGAAGGGCGCCUGCUGCUAUUUUGAAUAGCCUAGGACUCACACUGUGAAAGGCUUCAUGAGGGCAGCCCCAUGGGACUCAGGUUCCAAGAACAAUGAAUUCAGAGCUCUGUUGUGACUUGAGGCUCCAGCAUGCAGCAGAAGACCAGGUUCUGGUCCUGUGAAAAGCGAAACCAUAGUCUUCAGUCACUGACUAUGAGACCCACCCGCCAUUCAGAAUCACAAGGCUCAGACUAGGACCCAGGCACCCCUGCUUUUUCUCCAGUGUGCUGAGUUCUCCAAGUCUUUGUCCAAUGAGGCCGGCUGCCCUGGGUGUAAGACCCUGAUGUGAAGCUGCACGCCGUGGUUCCUGUUGAUGGCAUGUGGUGGUUGCCGAGGAUGCAGACGCAAAUGAACCAUGAUCAAGAAGCCACAGAUCCAAGCUCUCCCACAAGGACUGAAGACGGAGUGUGAACAAGGAAUGUAGCACUUCUGGAGACAGGCACCUGUUCAUCUCAGAGGUGUGUCUGGAGGCUUGUCUUCUAGUGAUUCCAAAUUCGGACAAAUCAACACCACCAACCAUCAGAAAAUAUAAACACAAAGCUUGACUGUGUGAUUGGAAACUUUGAAGGACAAAGCCUCAAGUUUAAUUCCGCUGUCAGAAAAGCAGUCUGAAGGCAGUGAUGGGCACUUCAGUCUGUGUGACUUCUCUGUCAAAGUGAUUGACCAACAAUUCUGCCUUCGGAGGGUUUAGUCUGACCACAGGCCAUGAGAUGGUACCACCCACAUUCAUGGUAUGUCUUCCUUUCUCUGGUAAACUUUGGAAAUGCCUUCAGGAGACACACCCAGGGAAGUGCCUCCUAGGUGAUUCUAAAGCCAGUCUAAUGAAGAUUAACCAUCAUAAAAGGUCCCCAAGACAACAGUAAGGAGUACAAGUGAUCCAACUUAUAAGGAAGAUGAUAGCACUGGACGAACGAACCUGGGAAUAUGGCUGAAUGGCCAAGGUGUAUCUGAAGAAGUAAGGAGCCACAUCUCACCUCUGCUUGGUUGGGUUCUCGCAGAUGGAGACAUCACAGAAAACCAUAACUGGACACAGUGCAGAGGCCAACAGAUUGUGAAGAGCAAGCUGGGUGUUGGUGGUGCACGCCUUUAAUCCCAGCACUAGGGAAACAGAGGCAGAUCUCCCCCUUCUGCUGCAGGAUCCGCUGCAUCUUUCUGAUUUGUCUCCCUCCUGAUACAAAAGCCCUGGAACCCAGUUCAGUAUGAUUCAGCAGAAGUCUGGGCUGACUCAUUGGCCAGUACAUGUGCCUACAAAUCCGGUUUCACAGGCGAAUGAGAUCUGACUAGACUAACAAGAAUUCUACAACAAAUCAUUUUUUCCCAUUUUGUCUGGCGGUUCAGCCACUGCUCUUGUUAAGGCACAGCGGAGUUUGUUUCUUUGGCUACUUGCCUUGCCACAGACCCAUACCACUUAGUUGCCAAGCAGGGGUUCGCUGCCCCAGCACAUGGCAGAGCUAGGUGGUGGAAGAAUGGACUCUUGUGCUAGGUGGUGGAAGAAUGGACUCCACAGCUCCCUCAGGUGGUGGGACUGAGUGCUAGCAGGUGGGUCCCUGGAAGAAAGCCACCCCACACCCACCCCAGGCAGAUGCCAAUUCCAGAAUUGUUCCCCUUCCCAACCCUCAACUUAGUAGCCUUGAAUCAGCAGUGAGUAUAGGAGAAGGGCCCUGGAGGCUCGGAGUGUGACUGUGCCACUUAGUCACUGCCUGAUCUUUAACAAAUAAGCUGACUUUCCUCUUAGAAUUUCUCAGUCAUACAAUGAAGUCACACAGAAUAACCUUUCAGGUCUGGUCCAGCGUCAAUGAACUAUGGUAUGGUUUUGCUCCAGCUACACAGGAAGAAUGAAAUACAUUUCAGGCUCAUCAAUAUCAAGUCCCUGUCCCCUGUGGUCAAUAUUACUAAUGAGUGGCUUCAUUAAUCAUGAUCCAAUAGAGAAUUUCACCAGCAACACAGAUCUCCCCAAACUGGAAGCUAAUUCUCUUCUGUAGGAAGGAGCAAGAGUGAGAGAUGACAGGAAGGAGAGAAAGGAGGACACUUCACACUAGCAGUGACUCAAACUCUCCAGGGACUGAGUCUGUGAAUGUCAAGAAUUGCAAACAUGAGCUCUUCAUCCAAGUUUUUUUUUACCCUAAAUGCUUUCUGCUGAUUUCUAUAACCACCAAGAAGUAUCCUCUAGAGAGAAGUGUUUGUUUCUUGAAGCAUCACAGAGGAAGAUCAGCAUUUGACUCUGAGUUCCAGUGAGCUUUUUGGAGAAGCCAUUUUGAGUGGAGAUAAUGAAACUUCUUUUCUACUUUGGCUUGGAGGGGAUUUGUUUUUAUCAGCACACUUGUCCCUUCUAAGAACCUUGAGGUGCUGGGGACAUGGCUCGGUGGGGAAGAGCACUUCCAUGCAAGUUUCUUCCAUAUGGGGAACUGAGGUUGAGUCUUCAGUAAAUUUGUGAAAGAACCAGAAGGCAUGGUCAUGUGUGUUCAUAAUCCCAACAUUGGGGAACAGAGGCAAAAAGAUCCCAGGAACUUGCUGGCUGGCCAGUCAGCCUAGCCAAAAAGACAGACUUCCAGUUCAAUGAGAGACACUGUCUCAAGGCAUGUGGGUAAUGAGUGAUAGAGGAAGAUAGAUAUCCAGUGUCUUUCUCUAGUCUUCCCACAUGUACACACAGUCAUAGGUAUAUAUGUACACUGCAUAAACUCCCCCCACAAGAAAUCUUGACUUUCCUCUGAUGAAUUUUGACCAACACAAAUUUGAUCAAGAGUGGUCAUGUAUUAGUCUUUGUUAAUAAACAAUGGUGAGCACCCACCGUCAGCUGGGGAUAAAGGCAGCAUAGACUGGAGAUGAUUUAAACCUUGAAGCCUGAUAUUGCACAAUUAACAAUAAACGCAUUAUUACUUGAUGCAUUUGCUCAAACAAAAACCACAUGUGACUGGGAAUUUGAAAACUGAACAGACAUUGGCAAAUGUUUCCCAAAUAUAAUACACCAUCUUGACAGCUAAUGCAUCAGCAAUGUUUACUUCAGCAAAUGUUUCCAAUUUGGAGGAAGGGAAAAAUGGAGUGUCUAAUAAUAACCUCUUACAUCUGAAUACAGCCCAGUGCUUUGCAGUUUUAAAAGCACUUCCCAUGUAUACAUCCGCUCAGCUGAUCACUCAAACCACCCUGGGAGGUGGGUGGGAUGUAUAUUAUGUUAUUGCCCAACAAUUUGUAGCUCCCAGCUUGUCAUUCUGUCUUGUGUCUCAUCAUUUCACACAUGCUCUUUCUGAGCCCUGGAGUGCCCCAUUCUCCCUUCCCUGCCCCAUUUUUUCAUGUAGAUAAUUCCCAAUCAACUGUGAAAAAGCAAUGCAGAUGAUGCUACCUUUCAAAUAGCCAGGAAACUUCCAGUCUGGCAUAGAUGUUUCUCUUCUGUAUUUCCCCUCUGGCCGGUGCCACAUGGCAAGGGAAUGAGUUACUCUGAACCCCUCUCUCUGUUUGCUUUUCUGUCUGUCACUAUUCUACGCUCUAGCCUAAUAGCAUAGCUUCAUCUUAUUUAACAUCUUCAGUGCCCUCCAUUGUCCCUGUCACACAGUGAAGGCUCUUUAUGUUGAAAGAAUGAAGGCUCCUCAUCUGGAAGAAGCCAAACAGAUGCUUACAAAUUCGUAUGUCUUGUUCAAGGUUACACUGCUAGUGAGGGGUAAUGGUUGAGCUGUGUUUCUGGUUUUCUAGUCCAAUAGUCUUUGUACAGUUUAACACUACAUCUGUUCAGCUUAUUUCUAUCGAAAUACAUGAGAAGAUUAUGGGUAGAACGCAAUAGUGUUUUGUUGGUAUUUCUGUGGUUUAUAUAAGAAGCCAUUGGAAAUAUGCUAACUGCUUUUUUUUUUAGUUCUUUCUUCACUUAUUGUUUAGAUUUUUACCUGUUUUCUUUUAGGCAUGCAUGUGGGUGUACACAUGCCACAGUUUGUAUGUAGAGGACCCAGGAUAACUUGUGAGAAUCUGUUCUCCUCUUCCAUCAUAUGGGUUUUAGGGAUUAGACUAGGGUCAGCAGGCACAGUGGUCAGAGCUUUUAUUCACUGAGCUAUCUUGCCAGCUCAUAUUUGUUAUUUUUUAAUUCAUUGUUUACUUCCUAUUUUCUCCCAACAAAUAUGUGAGGCAGUUUAAGUUAAAGUUUAUGUAAAACAAGGAUAAAAGACAAAACAAUGGACAGACAAUAGGAAGAAAGAAGAGAAAACAUUGCAUGAGAAAUUGUUGACCAAGAGUAUUGAUGAUAGUUGAUCUUUCAACUUGGUCUGGAGAAUGCCAGGGUUUAACCAGGCAGGAGAAACAUAUUGCUUUUACCAUUGUGUAAAGGGAAUGGCAUGGGGGAGCUCUGCCUCUAGCAUUAAGCACUAAGAGGAAUUUAUUGCACACACAGUGGUUUGGAUCCAUGAAAGUCAUAAUAUAAAACUAUAAAUGAAAUAUACCUUCAAAUGAUGCUCAUAACAGAGGAAUUCACUCAUCGAACACGUAUCAAGUAUCUCCCACGUGUCAGGAACUGUGCUGAUGACUGGGACACAAGCUCAAAAGCUCACCAUGUAUGGAAGUACACAUGUUGUUAUUUUGGAGCAAUAAUUAUAUAACACAUUAGAGUGUCAGAAGAAAAAGAAAGUAACUAUUAAUGGGACCUUAGAGAUGGAAGGCUCCCUAACUAGUGCCCAUCCCGCCCUCAUGUGUGUAGAGGCCAGCAGUCAAUGUCAAGUGUUUCCUCUACGGAUUUCCAUCUUAUAGUUUGAGACAGGGUUUCUUACUAAUCCUGGAAUGGGUCAGUUGGCCGGAUUGUCUAGUCAUUAAGUUCCUGGGACCUUCUUGUCUCUAACUCUUACAGCUAGCACUGAGAUAUAUAUUUCCCAUCGCCUCUCUCUCUCUCUCUCUCUCUCUCUCUCUCUCUCUCUUUCUCUGUCAUCUAUCUAUUUAUAUUUGUAACAAGGUUGCUGAGAACCUGACUGAUCUACCUUUUCAGUCCCUUAAGUGUCUUAUGGUAACCCCUAAAAUAAUGGGGGCAUCAUUGCAUUAAAUUAUUGUUAUCAUAAAAAUGUCUGUCUAUAUCAGGAAACAAUAAACUCAGAAUAUGAGCAUAGGUUGUAUUUUUGGAUUCAUCUUUUCUACUUAGGAUUUUUUUUUUUAGAAAAAAAUUACAGUCAAUAAAAUAUAAAG